RNAcentral lists this ribosomal RNA (253 nucleotides) under uncultured bacterium. RNAcentral's name for it is "partial 16S ribosomal RNA". It matches the Rfam family "Bacterial small subunit ribosomal RNA", at positions 524 to 776 of the family's 1533-position model. The record is from RNAcentral.
UACGUAGGGUGCGAGCGUUAUUCGGAAUUACUGGGCGUAAAGCGUGUGUAGGCGGUUCUCCAAGUCAGGCGUGAAAUCCCCGGGCUUAACCUGGGAAUUGCGCUUGAAACUAGCGGGCUUGAGUGUGGCAGAGGGGGGUGGAAUUCCACGUGUAGCAGUGAAAUGCGUAGAGAUGUGGAGGAACACCGAUGGCGAAGGCAGCCCCCUGGGUCAACACUGACGCUCAUGCACGAAAGCGUGGGGAGCAAACAGG